UUGAAUCCGGGAUUGUACUUUAAAUCAACGAUGAGUGAGGAGAAAAUUGCUAAAGUGUGGGAGAGUUACUACACUUGUGUUGAGACGAUGGUCCCCGAUCUUUCCACACAAGAUUUACUACUUGCUGAGCUUGCUAAGUACAAAAGUGCGGAUGGAUUGUUUGGUUCUGGUCAAGCUAGAGCCAGAGACACGAGGUCACCGGUUGAGUGGUGGUCCCUAUUAGGGAGCGGAACUCCAAAUUUGCAAAGAUUUGCCAUAAGAGUUCUGAGUUUAACUUGUAGUGCAUCUGGAUGCGAGCGGAACUAGAGUGUCUUUGAACAUAUUCAUUCCAAAAAGAGAAAUAGGCUUGAGUUAUCGCGUCUCAAUGAUCUAGUGUACGUUAAGUACAAUAGAACAUUGGCACGUCGCUAUGAUAUUCGCGAUACCAUCGAUCCUAUAUGUUGGAAAAUAUUGAAGAUGUGAAUGAAUGGUUACUUGUUGGCCCUGAAGAUCAAGAAGAUGAACUAAUGUUUGAGGAAGGUGAUCUUAAUUGGGGUACUGUUGCUAUGGCAGCUGGGGUUGAUGAUGAUAUUGUCUAUAGUCUUAGAAGAAAGUCAAGGUCAAGGUCACUUGACAAGGGAAAAGCGACAAGUUCAAGUCAGACUCGAGCCCUAGUUGAUGAAGAAACCAAAGAGGAAGAAGAUGAGGGACAAUAUAAUGAACUGCAUGUCGGAAUUGAAGAUUAUGCAAACCUUGAAA
Capsicum annuum is the source of this 738-nucleotide long non-coding RNA. RefSeq lists it as uncharacterized. The transcript is spliced from 3 exons. The record is from RefSeq and is a predicted model, not a curated record. NCBI's taxonomy places the organism in Eukaryota, Viridiplantae, Streptophyta, Magnoliopsida, Solanales, Solanaceae.